Antechinus flavipes (yellow-footed antechinus) is the source of this 532-nucleotide long non-coding RNA. RefSeq lists it as uncharacterized. The record is from RefSeq and is a predicted model, not a curated record. NCBI's taxonomy places the organism in Eukaryota, Metazoa, Chordata, Mammalia, Dasyuromorphia, Dasyuridae. The transcript has 2 exons.
GAGAGUUGGGUGAAUCAAGUGACCACUAAAGGUGAAAGUAGGACCUGAAUAAGAGCUAUAACAAAACAGGGAUUCUCUUGAGACAACUGAAGAUAUAAAGAAAGAUCCCAGGAUGGAGAAGGAAGAGUCAGCCUUGAAAAUAGGCUUCAUGGAGGACUAAAAGAUGGGAAGAGCACAAGAAGAAGAGUCAGAAUGAGAAGUUUGUUACCAAUGAUGGUAUUCCAGGUCUCUAGAGUACACAAUGGAAAGGGAGCAGAGGAAGAUAAAAGCUACUGGGAGUAGCAGUUGGUAGGAUGUUGCCUUCAUUAAUGAUCCUGGCUUUAGGCCAGGUAGCAUAUGUCAAUAGAUGCAGUGUGAAGAUGUGCCUAUGAAGGAAAUUGUUAACAUAAUUGAAUACUAAGGAAUCCCAGCUUCAAGAGAUGACUUUAGCAAUUGUGUUCUCAGUCACAAUUCACAAUAAGAUUGGGAGAGCUCAUUUAUAAAUCACUAAGUAAUUCUUAAGAGAUUAUAAUCAAAUAUAGCAUAAUACAAA